This 2785-nucleotide ribosomal RNA is filed under the name Salmonella enterica. RNAcentral's name for it is "partial 23S ribosomal RNA". It matches the Rfam family "Bacterial large subunit ribosomal RNA". Lineage: Bacteria; Pseudomonadati; Pseudomonadota; Gammaproteobacteria; Enterobacterales; Enterobacteriaceae. The record is from RNAcentral. RNAcentral also lists the same sequence under 2 other names.
GGGUUGUGAGGUUAAGCGACUAAGCGUACACGGUGGAUGCCCUGGCAGUCAGAGGCGAUGAAGGGCGUGCUAAUCUGCGAUAAGCGCCGGUAAGGUGAUAUGAACCGUUAUAACCGGCGAUACCCGAAUGGGGAAACCCAGUGUGAUUCGUCACACUAUCAUUAACUGAAUCCAUAGGUUAAUGAGGCGAACCGGGGGAACUGAAACAUCUAAGUACCCCGAGGAAAAGAAAUCAACCGAGAUUCCCCCAGUAGCGGCGAGCGAACGGGGAGGAGCCCAGAGCCUGAAUCAGCAUGUGUGUUAGUGGAAGCGUCUGGAAAGGCGCGCGAUACAGGGUGACAGCCCCGUACACAAAAGCGCAUGUGCUGUGAGCUCGAUGAGUAGGGCGGGACACGUGGUAUCCUGUCUGAAUAUGGGGGGACCAUCCUCCAAGGCUAAAUACUCCUGACUGACCGAUAGUGAACCAGUACCGUGAGGGAAAGGCGAAAAGAACCCCGGCGAGGGGAGUGAAAAAGAACCUGAAACCGUGUACGUACAAGCAGUGGGAGCACCCUUUGGGUGUGACUGCGUACCUUUUGUAUAAUGGGUCAGCGACUUAUAUUCUGUAGCAAGGUUAACCGAAUAGGGGAGCCGGAGGGAAACCGAGUCUUAACCGGGCGUUAAGUUGCAGGGUAUAGACCCGAAACCCGGUGAUCUAGCCAUGGGCAGGUUGAAGGUUGGGUAACACUAACUGGAGGACCGAACCGACUAAUGUUGAAAAAUUAGCGGAUGACCUGUGGCUGGGGGUGAAAGGCCAAUCAAACCGGGAGAUAGCUGGUUCUCCCCGAAAGCUAUUUAGGUAGCGCCUCGUGAAUUCAUCUCCGGGGGUAGAGCACUGUUUCGGCUAGGGGGCCAUCCCGGCUUACCAACCCGAUGCAAACUGCGAAUACCGGAGAAUGUUAUCACGGGAGACACACGGCGGGUGCUAACGUCCGUCGUGAAGAGGGAAACAACCCAGACCGCCAGCUAAGGUCCCAAAGUCAUGGUUAAGUGGGAAACGAUGUGGGAAGGCCCAGACAGCCAGGAUGUUGGCUUAGAAGCAGCCAUCAUUUAAAGAAAGCGUAAUAGCUCACUGGUCGAGUCGGCCUGCGCGGAAGAUGUAACGGGGCUAAACCAUGCACCGAAGCUGCGGCAGCGACACUGUGUGUUGUUGGGUAGGGGAGCGUUCUGUAAGCCUGUGAAGGUGUGUCGUGAGGCAUGCUGGAGGUAUCAGAAGUGCGAAUGCUGACAUAAGUAACGAUAAAGCGGGUGAAAAGCCCGCUCGCCGGAAGACCAAGGGUUCCUGUCCAACGUUAAUCGGGGCAGGGUGAGUCGACCCCUAAGGCGAGGCCGAAAGGCGUAGUCGAUGGGAAACGGGUUAAUAUUCCCGUACUUGGUGUUACUGCGAAGGGGGGACGGAGAAGGCUAUGUUGGCCGGGCGACGGUUGUCCCGGUUUAAGCGUGUAGGUGUGUGUUCCAGGUAAAUCCGGUUCACUUUAACACUGAGGCGUGACGACGAGGCACUACGGUGCUGAAGCAACAAAUGCCCUGCUUCCAGGAAAAGCCUCUAAGCAUCAGGUAACAUCAAAUCGUACCCCAAACCGACACAGGUGGUCAGGUAGAGAAUACCAAGGCGCUUGAGAGAACUCGGGUGAAGGAACUAGGCAAAAUGGUGCCGUAACUUCGGGAGAAGGCACGCUGACACGUAGGUGAAGUGAUUUACUCAUGGAGCUGAAGUCAGUCGAAGAUACCAGCUGGCUGCAACUGUUUAUUAAAAACACAGCACUGUGCAAACACGAAAGUGGACGUAUACGGUGUGACGCCUGCCCGGUGCCGGAAGGUUAAUUGAUGGGGUCAGCGCAAGCGAAGCUCCUGAUCGAAGCCCCGGUAAACGGCGGCCGUAACUAUAACGGUCCUAAGGUAGCGAAAUUCCUUGUCGGGUAAGUUCCGACCUGCACGAAUGGCGUAAUGAUGGCCAGGCUGUCUCCACCCGAGACUCAGUGAAAUUGAACUCGCUGUGAAGAUGCAGUGUACCCGCGGCAAGACGGAAAGACCCCGUGAACCUUUACUAUAGCUUGACACUGAACAUUGAGCCUUGAUGUGUAGGAUAGGUGGGAGGCUUUGAAGUGUGGACGCCAGUCUGCAUGGAGCCGACCUUGAAAUACCACCCUUUAAUGUUUGAUGUUCUAACGUGGACCCGUUACCCGGGUUGCGGACAGUGUCUGGUGGGUAGUUUGACUGGGGCGGUCUCCUCCUAAAGAGUAACGGAGGAGCACGAAGGUUGGCUAAUCCUGGUCGGACAUCAGGAGGUUAGUGCAAUGGCAUAAGCCAGCUUGACUGCGAGCGUGACGGCGCGAGCAGGUGCGAAAGCAGGUCAUAGUGAUCCGGUGGUUCUGAAUGGAAGGGCCAUCGCUCAACGGAUAAAAGGUACUCCGGGGAUAACAGGCUGAUACCGCCCAAGAGUUCAUAUCGACGGCGGUGUUUGGCACCUCGAUGUCGGCUCAUCACAUCCUGGGGCUGAAGUAGGUCCCAAGGGUAUGGCUGUUCGCCAUUUAAAGUGGUACGCGAGCUGGGUUUAGAACGUCGUGAGACAGUUCGGUCCCUAUCUGCCGUGGGCGCUGGAGAACUGAGGGGGGCUGCUCCUAGUACGAGAGGACCGGAGUGGACGCAUCACUGGUGUUCGGGUUGUCAUGCCAAUGGCACUGCCCGGUAGCUAAAUGCGGAAGAGAUAAGUGCUGAAAGCAUCUAAGCACGAAACUUGCCCCGA